This 350-nucleotide ribosomal RNA is filed under the name uncultured bacterium. Its description in RNAcentral is "bacterial SSU rRNA". It matches the Rfam family "Bacterial small subunit ribosomal RNA", at positions 355 to 696 of the family's 1533-position model. The record is from RNAcentral.
UGGGGAAUAUUGCACAAUGGGCGCAAGCCUGAUGCAGCAACGCCGCGUGAGUGAAGAAGGUUUUAGGAUUGUAAAGCUCUUUCGACAGGGAAGAAGGGCCUCACUAGUAACACGGGUGAGGUUUGACGGUACCUGCAGAAGAAGCACCGGCUAAUUCCGUGCCAGCAGCCGCGGUAAUACGGAAGGUGCAAGCGUUGUUCGGAUUGACUGGGCGUAAAGAGCACGUAGGCGGGUUCGUAAGUUGGAUGUGAAAGCCCUGGGCUUAACCUGGGAACUGCAUCCAAAACUGCGAAUCUUGAAUACCUGAGGGGUUGGUAGAAUUCCAGGUGUAGGAGUGAAAUCCGUAGAUA